RNAcentral lists this transfer RNA (65 nucleotides) under Rondeletiola minor. Its description in RNAcentral is "tRNA-Tyr". Lineage: Eukaryota; Metazoa; Mollusca; Cephalopoda; Sepiida; Sepiolidae. The record is from RNAcentral.
UAUGAGGUGGUCGAUUUAAGUCGGUAGAUUGUAAAUCUAUGAAUAAGUGUAUUACUUUCUCGUAA